CUUUUUCUUCCAGUUGCAACUGAUUGAUACUAUGGAGAAAAGAGAGAAGAGGGCUCCCAGUGUGACUGCAGGCUCUAAAUAUGUCUGGAAAAGGUUUUCCCAGACCUGCAGACCUGCCUGAGGCCAUUUCCAAGCCAGUUGUGGACUCAUACCAGACCUGGAAGACUGGAAACCUGCUGAGCAAGGAUGGAGGCUAUAAACAACCUAGCUGCAUUAAUGAGUGUUUGGUGUCUAGCUUUUCUUUUCGGUCUCAUCUGAAAAGGUGAUGUCUCAUCAGACUGGGAUGAUGGUAAAAAGGCACAGAACACCAGCAUGAGCUGCAUUUCAAUCAGUGGGGCUGCCUAGCUUUGAAGAGUUCAGAAUCAAAAGCACUAGAAGAACAAAUACAGAGCUCACAUGGUUUCCAUCUUCAAGGUUUCCCUUCAUCUGAUGGAAAUCUGUAGGGGAGGCAGACAGAAGGCUCAAGCAAGAAUGACCUGUCAAGAAUACUUACGGCUUUAUGGUUAACUUUCUCCUGAAUGUGAACGUGGUGCUUCCUGACAACAUACAAGAUUCAGCAAUAUAAAACCUAGGUGCUAACCAACUGAGACCUUCAAAGAAGAAGGCAUAGAGGCUUCGGAAUUUGGAAUCACACAAAAAUUGGAUCAUCUGAGACGCACAAUUUUUUUCUUUAACAUUAGUUAAACAUAGACUUGAACUGUUUUAGAUAGGGCAACUACAAGUUUGCAUUUUAGUGCUGUUCAGUUUUUCAUAACAGACUGUGGACAGCAACAGCAAAGAUUUCCAGGUGCAGUUCUGAGCCUUAUCUUUAUGUGAAGCAAUCACUUUAGGAGUCAGAACAUAUAAGAAAGUUCUUUUCAGCCAGUGUUUGACCUGACUGCUAAGCAAACAUGGCACGUGCUGCAAUGUUUAUUUACCUGGUACAAACUGAACUAAGCCACCAAACCAUGUACAACCUAGAAGGCAGCACUUGGCCACCGCUCCAACUUACAUUUCAGGUUAGACACCGUAGGAAGGAAACUCGGUAUUUCCAUUGUGAAGCCAUAGAUUCACAGAACCAUAUAGGUUGAAAAAGAACCAUAAGAUUAUCAAGUCCAGCUGCCCCCUAACACUAAACCAUGUCCCCAAGCCACACAUUCACACAUCUUUUAAAUAGCUUCAGAAAUGGCAACUCCAGCACUUCCCUGGGCAGCCUGUCCCAAUGCCUAGCCAGCCUUUCCAUGAGGAAAUUCCUCUCCUGAUGCAACUUGAGGCUGCAAUCAAUGGGAAGAGAGAUGGUCUGUGGUAGUGAUGAUGGAUAGGUGACUUGGGAAUGUGAGAAACCCUCUACAGUGCUUAAGGAGUAAUCUUCUUCCAAUCUUUCAUUCUGCUCCAGUGGUCAAACACUCAUCCCAGACUGAGCUGCUAGGCACUUCCUGUCAGUCUGAUAUGCCUGGCAAUGGUACCACAUUCUCUCAGGAGCACCAAUGCCAACCUUACUAAGUCAGCUGAAACAUUUCAGUCAUUUAAGACCAUUUUAACUCAGUCCACUAAGUUCCCUUUAUCCAUCACAUUAUCGUGGAUCUUCCAUUCUCACCUUCGGUGCCCUGCAAAACUGUACACUUUCUAUGCAUACAGGUUUGCUCUCUGCACUUACCAUUGACAUCAGCUUUGAUGUCCCACUUAUCUGUCUACUGCAAGUUUCUCCAUGCCAUUCUGACCUAUUCGUGAGAUGCAGUGCCAAUUCCGGUUCACUGAAUUUGAACUUUUC
Molecule: long non-coding RNA, 1750 nt
Organism: Gallus gallus (chicken)
Lineage: Eukaryota; Metazoa; Chordata; Aves; Galliformes; Phasianidae
Source: Ensembl